AUUGAACGCUGGCGGCGUGCCUAACACAUGCAAGUCGAUCGGUAACAGGUGUAGCAAUACAUGCUGACGAGAGGCGGACGGGUGAGUAACGCUUGGGAAUCUGCCUAUUAGUGGGGGACAACCCGGGGAAACUCGGGCUAAUACCGCAUACGCCCUACGGAGGAAAGCCGGGGACCGCAAGGCCUGGCGCUAAUAGAUGAGCCCAAGUCGGAUUAGCUAGUUGGUAGGGUAAUGGCCUACCAAGGCGACGAUCCGUAGCUGGUCUGAGAGGACGACCAGCCACACUGGGACUGAGACACGGCCCAGACUCCUACGGGAGGCAGCAGUGGGGAAUAUUGGACAAUGGGGGAAACCCUGAUCCAGCGACGCCGCGUGGGUGAAGAAGGCCUGCGGGUUGUAAAGCCCUUUCGGUGGGGAAGAAAAGCCUCGACCUAACACGUCGGGGUAUUGACGUAACCCACAAAAGAAGCACCGGCUAACUCUGUGCCAGCAGCCGCGGUAAAGUCUGUACU
RNAcentral lists this ribosomal RNA (512 nucleotides) under uncultured bacterium. RNAcentral's name for it is "bacterial SSU rRNA". It matches the Rfam family "Bacterial small subunit ribosomal RNA", at positions 29 to 536 of the family's 1533-position model. The record is from RNAcentral.